CGCGAGCACCCGUGCAGAACAGACCAGUGAUGCAUCCCGCCCAGCGCACAUCGCAGGCAGUGGGCCUUGCACCAUGCUUCGGAGGAAAAGGUGGACGUCCCCUCACAAUUCAACCCAUCAGGUGGUCAAUAUUAUACUGUGGGGACAAGCUCUGCAUUCCUGACCUCCUCUGUCACGCAUGCCAAGACAGAAGAUUAAUGACCCCUGGAAGGACCAGAAUAGAAGUGGUUCCAGCAAAUAUCAGUAUUCCUCCUUCCCGUACUAUAUGGAUCUGUACCUUAGCACAGACCAAAGCCACUUCUGAAACUUCCUAGAAGUGCUAUCCAGAAGUAUCAAAAUCCUCAUGCCAGGCUGCACUGUCAAUGCAAUGUGCUCCCAUCUCCCUUCAGUGCUCUGGAGAGCUUUGUCCCUCUUCUUCAUGGUUAGCAUGCCGAUGCCUUGUCUGACUCACAUGUCCUGACAGAGCCAUGGUGAAGUGUACUUCAUGAUGGUUAAGGAAGAAUUGUACUUCAUGAUGGUUAAGGAAGAAUAACCACCAUCUGCAACCACCACACAUCCACAGCACUUUACCCUGACCAUUUCUAUAGGCUCUUUGUCUCUUAAGCUGCUGAAGAGAUGAAUAUCUCAGGUCCAUCCAAGAUGGGCAGCUGAGAGGUUGAUGUAUCCUAUCAUGGCCAUGCUGUGGAAAGGCUCAAGACUAGGAAUAAAACGUUGUAUAUGAAGGCAACAAAACAGACUGUCUAAUGUGAGCUGUCUGCUGUUAACCAGUGCACAAGGAGCCUGAACGCAAGGACCAAUGGUCAGCCUCAGUGAGAAGUGCACUGGGAAAAGCCAACGUUUGAGCCCACUGAACAGCCUCCAUCCCUGGUUUCUCCUGGCAGAGAGAGUUAAACGCAGCUGAGUUAUACUGUCUCUCUGCCCCUCUCAGACUGCUGCUCCUGUCCACACAACAGCACUACAGGAUGUACCGUGAUGAUGCAGUUUUCCAAAGUGAUCGUGUUUGGAUUGCCACAUUUCCAUUGCUCUCGACUCCAGUCAACUCAACUUUCAAGCUGGAUACUUCAAUGUGUGAACAUGCAAUGGGUCACAAAAUUCAGGCUUAAGAUGCCUCAAGGCUGUCUCUUCUAACAGAGACUCGGGGAAAUGGAGUGAGGGCCACAGAAAACUUUGUGAAGCAACUACAGAAGUUUUCAGUGCCUGAUAGCUCAAGGGGGAGUUUAACAGAAAGUUAAGGCUUCCAAUGUGCAUCUCCACCUCGGUGAUGUUUACCUGAACAAUACGGUUCUGAGAAGACACCCUCCUGUUUCCUGAUGAGCUGUCAUCAGCUAUAUCACUUUCCAGCAGGUAAUCGAAUUUGAGUAGAUGUCUUGCUCAGUAUCUGAAUACGCUCUUUCUCCUCCAGCUAGGAGUAAAAUUCUCUAACAAGGAUCAACGGUCUAGACCAAAGCUGUUUAUUGACCUUCUGCUUGCACAGCAAUCCCUUCAAUUUCUUAACUAUCAUGCAGACUCUCGGGAGGCAAGGAAAGGUACAUUUCCCUUUUCUUAUCAGAUGUCACAGUGGUACCCUGCCACUGUGAGUGGUACCCCAUUUUGGUGUCUGGGUGACACAGGCCACACUGUGGGACAUUCUGUCCUCCACUGGCUCACACUUCUGCUUGGAUUCUUGUAAGAAAGAGCAGAAAAGAAACAAGUCUUGAGAUUUCCCUCAUCCAGGGAUAUCAGGGACACCAUAGCUCACUGCAAGCACCCUUGGACAAGUCUGCUCUACCGUGUAGUUUUAGCCCACCUACAGCUCAGGAGGCUCAGACUGGGUCUGGUAGGGGUGACUAUCCCCGUCCUGAAAUUUUAAGCAGUCCUGUGCUUGGUCCCAGAGUGCCAGUAAAAAAGAAAUAUUUGAGCUAAAUUUUAAUUCAAGUUCUCUUCAACCAUUUGUUUUAUCAAAGCUGUGAGGCAUCAAGCUUUCAUUGUCUCCAGCCAAGAGAGAAUGUAAAAUGGCCCCAACAGGUGCUGGGAAGAAGCAUUUCAGAAUCAGCUCAUAACUCAGCAGACACAAAGUAAAUGUAUUCAAUAAAUACUUUAUUUUGACACAUAGUACGCAUUCGUACUUUAAGCAAAUACUAUAGCCAAAGGGAUGCUUACAAAGAGAUUGACACAAAAGAAAUAGCAAAGCAUAAAAUUAUCAUUUUCCUGAACAGAGAGAUUUUUGUACUUAGAAUAAUUUUUAUAUUCCUUAUUGAAUGCCAUUCAUGUGCUCUGUACAGCUGAGAAUCCAUAGCCAGCCUUGGGAUAAAUAUUUUCAGAGUCAUUUAAGAAUUUGGAAACUAAGGCCCAUUGACAGUCAGUAGAUAUUAGGUGCUUUUGAUGGUGUUACCUGUCUUCUGCAGUCCACAGGGCUCACUGUCUAAACCCUUGAGGUCAUUAAGAGACUUUCCAUUUAGUUCAAUGGUUCUACGGUAGUCCUGCAAAGUGCUGUGACCUCUCUAGGAGGAGGCAGGAACCUUUCUGGAACAAGAGAUUCAUUUGGAAUAGGAGAGAGAGUUUAAUUAGGGUAAUACAAGGUGUUUUUAAGUAGGCAACACUCACUGCUGCAAUGCAAACAGCAGAGACUAGAAUAGUGUUUAACAUGUAUUUUGACCUUUCAAGUGAACGACAAAGAAAACCAGUGAAACCAACAACCCCCAUUUGAUUCAAACUGCUGCAGUCUUCACUCACACCUUAGUUAGGGAAAACUCCAGUAAUCUUUGGCAAACCUGAAGCAUUCAGUCAAGAUUAGCAAGGAAAAAAAAAAAAAAAAAAAAAAUGACUCACCUUGUUCUCUUCUGUCUACUCAAAUUUGAAAGAAUCUGGGCUGCUUGUUGUUAUGAAACCCAACCUUGUGUGGAUUCCAAGCUGAUGAGCAUGAGUGUCUGAAAAUAUCAGAAAACUGUGGUUUAGCAAGAGAAAGAGAGAGUGAGUGGAGGAGCCAUCCUGUUGAUUUUGGAAGGAGUGGCAAAAGUUCCACUGACUUCAGCUGGGUACGAGCCAGGCCCACCGGGCAUAAAACUCCACUUGGCAUCUCUUCCAUCUUCCACACACAAUACUGACAGGGGUCCUACAGACAAAAUCUAAUUGAUUGUGGCACUCAGACAUCACCCCAAAAUUGUUCCUUUGUGGCAGAAUUUAUCCCCAUGUAAAGAUUCAGCAUGAAUAGGACUAUGAGAGACUUGGAUGGUGCAUAAACCAUGUUUUGUUCCUCUGCAUAAUUGAAUUCCACCCUUGGAGAAUACGCAAGGAAGUCUGCUUCUAAAUGGUUAGUUUUCUGUUACAACACAUGAUGGAUGCACGUUUUCAAAGUAUUUUAAAGGCAUGUAUGCAUUAUACUAAAGCAAGGUGUUAGUUCGAUGGUGCUGGGAAAUGAAACCUUGGAUUUAGCCAGAGAUAAGAAAUAACCCUUUAAUUAUUUUCAUAAAAUCUUCGGUUGAAACACAGAUGCAGCAGGAUCCUGUGGCUUCAUCAGCCCCCGACACCACAACUGUCUCCUAACAGCCUUUCAGAGUUUAAUACAGAAGAUGAAGAUCAACUGGAUGUGAAUAUGGAGCUCCAUGUGCUGAGAAACGGUGAAUGCUGAGCCAGUGCUAGCAUCCUUGUCGUAUUAUCUCAGCAUCCACAGACAGUGAGAAAAUGAGGGCUUCUAGAAGGUAAUUCACCUGAGGAAUAUGACCUUUAUCUUAUUACUAUGCUAAAAUAUGACUUCACCGUACAUAAAGUGGACUAGGACAAUUGGCAUACCUAUUGAUAAUGAGCCAUCAUGAUACUGAAACACUUGAAUGUUGUAGAUUAUUAUUCUCCUCUUCGUUUCACACACACACACACCUGUUCAGAAUGAAAAUUGGCUAGCUAUACAUUUACUAAAUUUCUCCAAUAACACUGAAGUUUUGUAGAAUAAAGCAAUGAGUUCCAGUGGCAACAUAUGUGCUCAGCUCUUGCCAUGAGAUCGAAAGCAGACAAUCCCUACAGACCCCAGUGUGGGGAUGACAGCCUGACAAAAUCACACCCCAUACUUACUUUCGUGUCACUGUAAAAGCUCUGAGUAAAGCUGGAGAAUAAAAGAGAUCAAAGCAUUUUAAAUAAGCAUUGGUAUGCUAACAAAAGCUGCACUGAGGUCUCACCAGCUGGGUCUUGUCUUGGGAAGAUGCUGAAUGGUCUUAAUGGGGAAGGUAGCAACCACACAAUUUUCUUGGUGUCACAGAUGAGCCAAAAUGCAACAAUACCCUUGGAGAAAGUGCAUUAUUAUUCACAGUAAUGGGAAAAUGCCCCAAAGUAUCUGGGUCAUUUCAUUAAACCACUGCAGUCAAUUACAUAAAAAACUACUUUGGGGGAAGGAUUCUAUACCUAUUACUGGACUUAAACCGUAAAGGAGUACGGAUGUGAAUGAAUUAAGUUUUCCUUUGUAUAAAAGCACUACUGAUGUUGUGUUCAGCAUAAGGAAAAAUUCUGAAACAAGAUAAGUAAAAAAAAUAAUCUAAUGGGAAAAACAAUGGGAGCAUCAACCGUCAGAGAGUGGGCAGAGUGAAAAAACAACGCAGAGAAAAGAUUAAAAGAGAAGCAAAGGUGGUAAAGAAGAAGAUAAACGAAGUGCCCCACAUUCCAAUCUGACUGUGCCUUGGAGGAUAAGGGGUAUUCCAGCCUUUCAGGAGAUGGCAGAACAACUCAGCAGAAAACUAAACACAGAAGCAGUCACCAAGACUUUUUCUCCUGUGGGCCAUGUUUAUAAUCAGAAGUCAAAACAAGUUAAUAUAAAGGCAACAAUGACAAAAGAAGUACAAACAAAAAUCCCUAGCUUACAACCACCUUCCUCAGAAGCAGAGUUUCAAUGCACAGUGUCAUUCCUUCACUCUCAUUUUCCUAGAAGUUAUUUUCCUAUAGGACUCUGGACAGAUUGGUCCUAACCUGAACUUCAAAGGCGAGGUGCUCGCUCCCUAGCCAUUCUGCUAUUAGGAGCUGUGCAGGUUCAUAGCCUCCCAGGCACACACUGUGUCUAAGUGUUGAAUGAUUUAGAGGCACUGAUGUUCAAAGCCGUUCAGCCAGCCACCAGUGAAACAAGGCUGGCCCACCUCGCACCAUUUCGAGGCCAUUGCUGCCAGUUCCUUUGGAUUAGCAGCAACACUUCCCUCAGAGAAUUAAUAAUUGUAAAACAUCUGGAGUUACUGAAACUAGCAGAUAGCUAAAAUGAUUCUUGUCGUAGCUGCCAGUAUCUUUUUUCCAGUCACAGCUGAUAUCCAGUAGAUCAGUCCACAUUCCAUGUUCAUAUGUUGCAUAUUUUAACGGUGUUUGAUUGUUUCCCCUGCCCUAUUUUGGAAACAAGAUAAAACAUUCCUGAAAGGGGGUCUCCAAUUAAAUGUUCAAAUCUGUAAGGGAUAGAUGUUGUAAUACUCGUGCUGUUUCUUAUGCUGAACAAUAAUUUAGGAAAAACCGUUGUAUUAGGGUGUGUUCAUCACCGUGUGCAUGGGAAGAACCUCUCAAACAUACCGUAUGAGUGUACAUUUUCUGUAACUUACCCCUGGCAAUAACCUGUGUUCAGACAUCCAUGCUUACCCCAUCUCCAUGUAUUUAGCCGUUUCUGCUUAUAAACUUGUAUAAUGCGUAUAAUGAA
Molecule: long non-coding RNA, 5632 nt
Organism: Oxyura jamaicensis (ruddy duck)
Lineage: Eukaryota; Metazoa; Chordata; Aves; Anseriformes; Anatidae
Exons: 4
Source: RefSeq, a predicted model, not a curated record